RNAcentral lists this ribosomal RNA (460 nucleotides) under uncultured bacterium. RNAcentral describes it as "partial 16S ribosomal RNA". It matches the Rfam family "Bacterial small subunit ribosomal RNA", at positions 338 to 795 of the family's 1533-position model. The record is from RNAcentral.
CCUACGAGUGGCAGCAGUGAGGAAUAUUGGUCAAUGGGCGCAAGCCUGAACCAGCCAAGUCGCGUGAGGGAUGACGGUCCUAUGGAUUGUAAACCUCUUUUGUCGGGGAGCAAGGCCCGCCACGUGUGGCGGGAUGGAGAGUACCCGAAGAACAAGCAUCGGCUAACUCCGUGCCAGCAGCCGCGGUAAUACGGUGGGUGCGAGCGUUAUCCGGAUUUAGUGGGUUUAAAGGGUGCGUAGGCGGAAGGUUAAGUCAGCGGUCAAAUGUCGGUGCUCAACACCGGCCUGCCGUUGAAACUGGUCUUCUUGAGUGAGCGAGAAGUAUGCGGAAUGCGUGGUGUAGCGGUGAAAUGCAUAGAUAUCACGCAGAACUCCGAUUGCGAAGGCAGCAUACCGGCGCUCAACUGACGCUGAGGCACGAAAGCGUGGGGAUCGAACAGGAUUAGAUACCCGUGUAGUC